GGAAUUUUUGGCAAUGGGCGCAAGCCUGACCAAGCAACGCCGCGUGGAUGAUGAAGUAUUUCGGUACGUAAAAUCCUUUCGACGGGGACGAAACCGCAAGGUUGACGGUACCCGUAGAAGAAGCCCCGGCUAACUCCGUGACAGCAGCCGCGGUAACACGGGGGGGGCAAGCGUUGUUCGGAAUUACUGGGCGUAAAGGGCGCGUAGGCGGCUCGCUAAGUCGGGUGUGAAAACUCUGGGCUCAACCCAGAGCCUGCAUUCGAAACUGACGGGCUACAGUUCUGGAGGGGAAGGCGGAAUUCCUGGUGUAGCGGUGAAAUGCGUAGAUAUCAGGAGGAACACCGGUGGCGAAGGCGGCUUUCUGGACAGAAACUGACGCUGAGGCGCGAAAGCUAGGGGAGCAAA
This 405-nucleotide ribosomal RNA is filed under the name uncultured bacterium. RNAcentral's name for it is "bacterial SSU rRNA". It matches the Rfam family "Bacterial small subunit ribosomal RNA", at positions 358 to 772 of the family's 1533-position model. The record is from RNAcentral.